Molecule: ribosomal RNA, 1328 nt
Filed under: Apilactobacillus kunkeei
Lineage: Bacteria; Bacillati; Bacillota; Bacilli; Lactobacillales; Lactobacillaceae
Description: bacterial SSU rRNA
Rfam family: Bacterial small subunit ribosomal RNA
Source: RNAcentral
AGUCGACGAGCUCUCCUAAAUUGAUUUUAUGCUUGCAUAAAUGAUUUUUAGAUUCGGAGCGAGUGGCGAACUGGUGAGUAACACGUGGGUAACCUGCCCCGAAGCGGGGGAUAACAUUUGGAAACAAAUGCUAAUACCGCAUAAUUAGUUGGAACCGCAUGGUUCCAACUUGAAAGAUGGCUCUGCUAUCACUUUGGGAUGGACCCGCGCCGUAUUAGUUAGUUGGUGAGAUAAAAGCCCACCAAGACGAUGAUACGUAGCCGACCUGAGAGGGUAAUCGGCCACAUUGGGACUGAGACACGGCCCAGACUCCUACGGGAGGCAGCAGUAGGGAAUCUUCCACAAUGGACGAAAGUCUGAUGGAGCAACGCCGCGUGAGUGAUGAAGGUUUUCGGAUCGUAAAACUCUGUUGUUAAAGAAGAACAAGUGUUAGAGUAACUGUUAACACUUUGACGGUAUUUAACCAGAAAGCCACGGCUAACUACGUGCCAGCAGCCGCGGUAAUACGUAGGUGGCAAGCGUUGUCCGGAUUUAUUGGGCGUAAAGCGAGCGCAGGCGGUUUUGUAAGUCUGCUGUGAAAGCCCUCAGCUCAACUGAGGAAGUGCAGUGGAAACUACAAAACUUGAGUACAGAAGAGGAAAGUGGAACUCCAUGUGUAGCGGUGAAAUGCGUAGAUAUAUGGAAGAACACCAGUGGCGAAGGCGGCUUUCUGGUCUGUUACUGACGCUGAGGCUCGAAAGCAUGGGUAGCGAACAGGAUUAGAUACCCUGGUAGUCCAUGCCGUAAACGAUGAAUACUAGGUGUUGGAGGGUUUCCGCCCUUCAGUGCCGCAGCUAACGCAUUAAGUAUUCCGCCUGGGGAGUACGACCGCAAGGUUGAAACUCAAAGGAAUUGACGGGGGCCCGCACAAGUGGUGGAGCAUGUGGUUUAAUUCGAUGCUACGCGAAGAACCUUACCAGCUCUUGACAUCUUCUGCCAACCCAAGAGAUUGGGCGUUCCCUUCGGGGACAGAAUGACAGGUGGUGCAUGGUUGUCGUCAGCUCGUGUCGUGAGAUGUUGGGUUAAGUCCCGCAACGAGCGCAACCCUUAUUAUUAGUUGCCAGCAUUUAGUUGGGCACUCUAGUGAGACUGCCGGUGAUAAACCGGAGGAAGGUGGGGACGACGUCAAAUCAUCAUGCCCCUUAUGAGCUGGGCUACACACGUGCUACAAUGGAUGGUACAACGAGUCGCGAAACCGCGAGGUCAAGCUAAUCUCUUAAAGCCAUUCUCAGUUCGGAUUGCAGGCUGCAACUCGCCUGCAUGAAGUUGGAAUCACUAGUAAUCGUGAU